AGGGUUUGAUUAUGGCUCAGAUUGAACGCUGGCGGCAGGCCUAACACAUGCAAGUCGAGCGGUAACAGGAAGUAGCUUGCUACUUCGCUGACGAGCGGCGGACGGGUGAGUAAUGCCUGGGAAUAUGCCUUGAUGUGGGGGAUAACUAUUGGAAACGAUAGCUAAUACCGCAUAAUGCCUACGGGCCAAAGAGGGGGAUCUUCGGACCUCUCGCGUCAAGAUUAGCCCAGGUGGGAUUAGCUAGUUGGUGGGGUAAAGGCUCACCAAGGCGACGAUCCCUAGCUGGUCUGAGAGGAUGAUCAGCCACACUGGAACUGAGACACGGUCCAGACUCCUACGGGAGGCAGCAGUGGGGAAUAUUGCACAAUGGGGGAAACCCUGAUGCAGCCAUGCCGCGUGUAUGAAGAAGGCCUUCGGGUUGUAAAGUACUUUCAGCAGUGAGGAAGGUGGUAGUGUUAACAGCACUAUCAUUUGACGCUAGCUGCAGAAGAAGCACCGGCUAACUCCGUGC
RNAcentral lists this ribosomal RNA (511 nucleotides) under uncultured bacterium. RNAcentral describes it as "bacterial SSU rRNA". It matches the Rfam family "Bacterial small subunit ribosomal RNA", at positions 8 to 508 of the family's 1533-position model. The record is from RNAcentral.